GACGACGCUGGCGGCGUGGAUUAGGCAUGCAAGUCGAACGGUAUCAUCCUUCGGGGGUGAGAGAGUGGCGAACUGGUGAGUAACACGUAGGUUAUCUACCCUCAAGACGGGGACAACCCCAGGGAAACUUGGGCUAAUACCGGAUGUGAGCAACUUUUAGUUGUUUGAAAGGUGGCGUAAGCUGUCGCUUGGGGAUGAGCCUGCGUCCUAUUAGUUAGUUGGUGAGGUAACGGCUCACCUAGGCAAUGAUAGGUAGGCGGCCUUAACGGGUGGUCGCCCACACUGGGAUUGAGAUACGGCCCAGACUCCUACGGGAGGCAGCAGUCGAGAAUAGUCUACAAUGGUCGGAAGACUGAUAGUGCGACGCCGCGUGAACGAUGAAUCCCUUCGGGGUGUAAAGUUCUUUUAUAUGUGAGCAGUGCUUCUUAUAUUAACAGUAUGGGGAGAGAGAUAUUAGCAUAUGAAUAAGCAACGGCUAACUCCGUG
Molecule: ribosomal RNA, 486 nt
Filed under: uncultured bacterium
Lineage: Bacteria
Description: bacterial SSU rRNA
Rfam family: Bacterial small subunit ribosomal RNA
Source: RNAcentral